RNAcentral lists this microRNA (23 nucleotides) under Caenorhabditis briggsae. Its description in RNAcentral is "Cbr-Mir-29-P1_5p* (star (passenger))". The record is from RNAcentral. Lineage: Eukaryota; Metazoa; Nematoda; Chromadorea; Rhabditida; Rhabditidae.
ACUGAGUUUAUGUGUGUACUUGA